Molecule: transfer RNA, 71 nt
Filed under: Geomys breviceps
Lineage: Eukaryota; Metazoa; Chordata; Mammalia; Rodentia; Geomyidae
Description: tRNA-Ser
Source: RNAcentral
GAGAAAGACAUAUCGGUUAUAUGAGGCUAGCUUGAAACUAGUUUUAGGGGGUUCGACUCCUUCCUUUCUUA